GGUUAAGCGACUAAGCGUACACGGUGGAUGCCCUGGCAGUCAGAGGCGAUGAAGGACGUGCUAAUCUGCGAUAAGCGUCGGUAAGGUGAUAUGAACCGUUAUAACCGGCGAUUUCCGAAUGGGGAAACCCAGUGUGAUUCGUCACACUAUCAUUAACUGAAUCCAUAGGUUAAUGAGGCGAACCGGGGGAACUGAAACAUCUAAGUACCCCGAGGAAAAGAAAUCAACCGAGAUUCCCCCAGUAGCGGCGAGCGAACGGGGAGGAGCCCAGAGCCUGAAUCAGUGUGUGUGUUAGUGGAAGCGUCUGGAAAGGCGCGCGAUACAGGGUGACAGCCCCGUACACAAAAAUGCACAUGCUGUGAGCUCGAUGAGUAGGGCGGGACACGUGGUAUCCUGUCUGAAUAUGGGGGGACCAUCCUCCAAGGCUAAAUACUCCUGACUGACCGAUAGUGAACCAGUACCGUGAGGGAAAGGCGAAAAGAACCCCGGCGAGGGGAGUGAAAAAGAACCUGAAACCGUGUACGUACAAGCAGUGGGAGCACGCUUAGGCGUGUGACUGCGUACCUUUUGUAUAAUGGGUCAGCGACUUAUAUUCUGUAGCAAGGUUAACCGAAUAGGGGAGCCGAAGGGAAACCGAGUCUUAACUGGGCGUUAAGUUGCAGGGUAUAGACCCGAAACCCGGUGAUCUAGCCAUGGGCAGGUUGAAGGUUGGGUAACACUAACUGGAGGACCGAACCGACUAAUGUUGAAAAAUUAGCGGAUGACUUGUGGCUGGGGGUGAAAGGCCAAUCAAACCGGGAGAUAGCUGGUUCUCCCCGAAAGCUAUUUAGGUAGCGCCUCGUGAACUCAUCUCCGGGGGUAGAGCACUGUUUCGGCAAGGGGGUCAUCCCGACUUACCAACCCGAUGCAAACUGCGAAUACCGGAGAAUGUUAUCACGGGAGACACACGGCGGGUGCUAACGUCCGUCGUGAAGAGGGAAACAACCCAGACCGCCAGCUAAGGUCCCAAAGUCAUGGUUAAGUGGGAAACGAUGUGGGAAGGCCCAGACAGCCAGGAUGUUGGCUUAGAAGCAGCCAUCAUUUAAAGAAAGCGUAAUAGCUCACUGGUCGAGUCGGCCUGCGCGGAAGAUGUAACGGGGCUAAACCAUGCACCGAAGCUGCGGCAGCGACACUAUGUGUUGUUGGGUAGGGGAGCGUUCUGUAAGCCUGCGAAGGUGUACUGUGAGGUAUGCUGGAGGUAUCAGAAGUGCGAAUGCUGACAUAAGUAACGAUAAAGCGGGUGAAAAGCCCGCUCGCCGGAAGACCAAGGGUUCCUGUCCAACGUUAAUCGGGGCAGGGUGAGUCGACCCCUAAGGCGAGGCCGAAAGGCGUAGUCGAUGGGAAACAGGUUAAUAUUCCUGUACUUGGUGUUACUGCGAAGGGGGGACGGAGAAGGCUAUGUUGGCCGGGCGACGGUUGUCCCGGUUUAAGCGUGUAGGCUGGUUUUCCAGGCAAAUCCGGAAAAUCAAGGCUGAGGCGUGAUGACGAGGCACUACGGUGCUGAAGCAACAAAUGCCCUGCUUCCAGGAAAAGCCUCUAAGCAUCAGGUAACAUCAAAUCGUACCCCAAACCGACACAGGUGGUCAGGUAGAGAAUACCAAGGCGCUUGAGAGAACUCGGGUGAAGGAACUAGGCAAAAUGGUGCCGUAACUUCGGGAGAAGGCACGCUGAUAUGUAGGUGAAGCGACUUGCUCGUGGAGCUGAAAUCAGUCGAAGAUACCAGCUGGCUGCAACUGUUUAUUAAAAACACAGCACUGUGCAAACACGAAAGUGGACGUAUACGGUGUGACGCCUGCCCGGUGCCGGAAGGUUAAUUGAUGGGGUCAGCGCAAGCGAAGCUCUUGAUCGAAGCCCCGGUAAACGGCGGCCGUAACUAUAACGGUCCUAAGGUAGCGAAAUUCCUUGUCGGGUAAGUUCCGACCUGCACGAAUGGCGUAAUGAUGGCCAGGCUGUCUCCACCCGAGACUCAGUGAAAUUGAACUCGCUGUGAAGAUGCAGUGUACCCGCGGCAAGACGGAAAGACCCCGUGAACCUUUACUAUAGCUUGACACUGAACAUUGAGCCUUGAUGUGUAGGAUAGGUGGGAGGCUUGGAAGUGUGGACGCCAGUCUGCAUGGAGCCGACCUUGAAAUACCACCCUUUAAUGUUUGAUGUUCUAACGUUGACCCGUAAUCCGGGUUGCGGACAGUGUCUGGUGGGUAGUUUGACUGGGGCGGUCUCCUCCUAAAGAGUAACGGAGGAGCACGAAGGUUGGCUAAUCCUGGUCGGACAUCAGGAGGUUAGUGCAAUGGCAUAAGCCAGCUUGACUGCGAGCGUGACGGCGCGAGCAGGUGCGAAAGCAGGUCAUAGUGAUCCGGUGGUUCUGAAUGGAAGGGCCAUCGCUCAACGGAUAAAAGGUACUCCGGGGAUAACAGGCUGAUACCGCCCAAGAGUUCAUAUCGACGGCGGUGUUUGGCACCUCGAUGUCGGCUCAUCACAUCCUGGGGCUGAAGUAGGUCCCAAGGGUAUGGCUGUUCGCCAUUUAAAGUGGUACGCGAGCUGGGUUUAGAACGUCGUGAGACAGUUCGGUCCCUAUCUGCCGUGGGCGCUGGAGAACUGAGGGGGGCUGCUCCUAGUACGAGAGGACCGGAGUGGACGCAUCACUGGUGUUCGGGUUGUCAUGCCAAUGGCACUGCCCGGUAGCUAAAUGCGGAAGAGAUAAGUGCUGAAAGCAUCUAAGCACGAAACUUGCCCCGAGAUGAGUUCUCCCUGACCCUUUAAGGGUCCUGAAGGAACGUUGAAGACGACGACGUUGAUAGGCCGGGUGUGUAAGCGCAGCGAUGCGUUGAGCUAACCGGUACUAAUGAACCGUGAGGCUUAACCUU
RNAcentral lists this ribosomal RNA (2903 nucleotides) under Escherichia coli. RNAcentral describes it as "23S ribosomal RNA". It matches the Rfam family "Bacterial large subunit ribosomal RNA". The record is from RNAcentral. Lineage: Bacteria; Pseudomonadati; Pseudomonadota; Gammaproteobacteria; Enterobacterales; Enterobacteriaceae.